Molecule: long non-coding RNA, 735 nt
Organism: Trifolium pratense (red clover)
Lineage: Eukaryota; Viridiplantae; Streptophyta; Magnoliopsida; Fabales; Fabaceae
Exons: 3
Source: RefSeq, a predicted model, not a curated record
CAUUGGAUGGGAUCACAACAUAAUGGUAAAAUGUGUUUGGUUUCAUAUUUGACUCAAGUGACGAGGUGUUCUCUAUAUGAGACGUCACUAGGUGGUGUUAAAUGGGUCAAUUUCUUUGAUCUCAAAACUCAAAUCAUAACAACAAUAAUACUAGUUUAGAAAUAUCACUUUUGGGUGAGGAAAUCAUGGAUCAAAUUGUUUAUUUUUCGCCCCAUACAUUCCUUUGACCGGAGCCCAAUUGGAGUUGGGAAGAAGGGAUAUAUUUUCUUUAGAGAAAAAAAUGAUGAACUAGCAUGAAUUGAUCUGAGCAUUCAAACAGUUGAUCGAGGAGAUCGGUGUUAAAGAAGAGGUGAUUUUUUGUAUGCUCGUUCGUUAUGAUGCUCGCUCGGUAAAGACCUAUUGUGUUGGGAUUUAUAGUCAAUCCAUAUAUAGAGACAUUUGUGACUUCAAGCUUGACAAACACCAUAGUUUCACCUCAACAUCAGAUGAAAUCCAUUGCAGAUUAGAUGAAACAAUCCAAUAUUUCCAAGAACGAGUUCAGGUUUCUUGAUGGUUAAGUUCACUCCUCACUCCAACAAAUUUGAUCCCAGCUACGACUCAUGUUGAGUAUGACGAAGACACAGAAGGUGGCAAGGGGUGGCAGGGGAGCCGAGCGAGCAAAGUUCUAUAUCUAUGCUUUGUUGUAACACUAAAUUUUUUAAUUCAUUCAAGUAAUAAUAUAGAACUACUCACACG